AGUGAACGCUGGCGGUAGGCCUAACACAUGCAAGUCGAACGGCAGCACAGUAAGAGCUUGCUCUUACGGGUGGCGAGUGGCGGACGGGUGAGGAAUACAUCGGAAUCUACUUUUUCGUGGGGGAUAACGUAGGGAAACUUACGCUAAUACCGCAUACGACCUACGGGUGAAAGCAGGGGAUCUUCGGACCUUGCGCGAUUGAAUGAGCCGAUGUCGGAUUAGCUAGUUGGCGGGGUAAAGGCCCACCAAGGCGACGAUCCGUAGCUGGUCUGAGAGGAUGAUCAGCCACACUGGAACUGAGACACGGUCCAGACUCCUACGGGAGGCAGCAGUAGGGAAUAUUGGACAAUGGGCGAAAGCCUGAUCCAGCCAUACCGCGUGGGUGAAGAAGGCCUUCGGGUUGUAAAGCCCUUUUGUUGGGAAAGAAAAGCAGCAGGUUAAUCCCCCGAUGUUCUGACGGUACCCAAAGAAUAAGCACCGGCUAACUUCGUG
This 492-nucleotide ribosomal RNA is filed under the name uncultured bacterium. RNAcentral's name for it is "partial 16S ribosomal RNA". It matches the Rfam family "Bacterial small subunit ribosomal RNA", at positions 29 to 507 of the family's 1533-position model. The record is from RNAcentral.